AUUAUCAACUCCACUACUGUCCCAGGGAGCCCUGCUAUCAUGUGGUUUGUCAUCGUACACUACGCAGAUGGUAAAGCAAGUUUGCUCGGAUGCUGUGGAGAUUGUUGAACCUGCAAAAGAAGGAUAUCAGCUUACCCUAAAGCUAAAUCUUGCAAAGAUUCCACGUGGAAAAGGUUUGCUACUUCUCCAAAUCAUCGCGAUAACAAUAAUUAUAUAUAAAAAAACAAGAGCUUAUUGGUACUUUGUGGCACAUACUAGUGCUGUCUUGAAUUUAAGCAUGUUAUUCCUUCUAUUCACCUAAAAAUAGAGAGUGGUUUUCAAUAUAUUAUAAAAUCAGUACGGAAUAUACAGAGAACAUAGAUUCAAACUAUCAGUCUACAAAAGAAGAAAGAAAGCUUGAACGAGAAGAAAGUUGUGUAAAUUCUUUACACAAACAAGAGAUACAAGAACUCCAUGCAGUAAACCUGAGUUCAGGUGUUACAGCAAAGACAAAUUAACAGUACAAAGAAAAGUUCAACCACCCAAACUAGACAUUUUAAACCUGACAUUUUGAAUCUUUGAUCAACUACAGUACCAGAUCACUGUAGUACUUAGUUAGCUGUCCUCUUAAAUAACAGGUUUCCUGCUUCUGCCAGUUCCACCGUCCACAAUCUCAGAUUUGAAGACAUCCAUACCAAGUUUUCUGUGACA
This 690-nucleotide long non-coding RNA is filed under the name Populus trichocarpa (black cottonwood). RNAcentral's name for it is "long non-coding RNA (PTRI_LNC002184)". The record is from RNAcentral. Lineage: Eukaryota; Viridiplantae; Streptophyta; Magnoliopsida; Malpighiales; Salicaceae.